GACGAAGGGGGCGAGCGUUGUUCGGAAUCACUGGGCGUAAAGGGUGCGUAGGCGGUUGGAUAAGUCUGAUGUGAAAUCUUCGAGCUCAACUCGGAAACUGCAUCGGAAACUAUCCAGCUUGAGGAUUGGAGGGGAGACUGGAAUUCUCGGUGUAGCAGUGAAAUGCGUAGAUAUCGAGAGGAACACCAGUGGCGAAGGCGAGUCUCUGGACAAUUCCUGACGCUGAGGCACGAAAGCUAGGGGAGCAAACAGG
This 253-nucleotide ribosomal RNA is filed under the name uncultured bacterium. RNAcentral describes it as "partial 16S ribosomal RNA". It matches the Rfam family "Bacterial small subunit ribosomal RNA", at positions 524 to 776 of the family's 1533-position model. The record is from RNAcentral.